This is a long non-coding RNA of Octopus sinensis (East Asian common octopus), 153 nucleotides long. RefSeq lists it as uncharacterized. NCBI's taxonomy places the organism in Eukaryota, Metazoa, Mollusca, Cephalopoda, Octopoda, Octopodidae. The transcript is spliced from 3 exons. The record is from RefSeq and is a predicted model, not a curated record.
GUCAAACAUAUGACGAUAUGAUGCCAAGUUCGGUAUAAGUUAACCCUUUAGCAUUUAAAUUGGCCAUAUCCAAUCAAAAUAUUCUAUAUUUUAUCUCCAAACAGGCCAGAUCUGGCCUCUUACAUCUACCCUACAAUGUCGUUCUAAAAAUAA